AUUGAACGCUGGCGGCAGGCUUAACACAUGCAAGUCGAGCGAGCGGCGGACGGGUGAGUAAUGUCUGGGCAACUGCCUGAUGGAGGGGGAUAACUACUGGAAACGGUAGCUAAUACCGCAUACCAUCAGAUGUGCCCAGGUGGGAUUAGCUAGUCGGGGGGGUAAUGGCUCACCUAGGCGACGAUCCCUAGCUGGUCUGAGAGGAUGACCAGCCACACUGGAACUGAGACACGGCCCAGACUCCUACGGGAGGCAGCAGUGGGGAAUAUUGCACAAUGGGCGCAAGCCUGAUGCAGCCAUGCCGCGUGUGUGAAGAAGGCCUUCGGGUUGUAAAGCACUUUCAGCGGGGAGGCGUUACUUGCAGAAGAAGCACCGGCUAACUCCGUGCCAGCAGCCGCGGUAAUUC
RNAcentral lists this ribosomal RNA (406 nucleotides) under uncultured bacterium. RNAcentral's name for it is "partial 16S ribosomal RNA". It matches the Rfam family "Bacterial small subunit ribosomal RNA", at positions 30 to 526 of the family's 1533-position model. The record is from RNAcentral.